This 253-nucleotide ribosomal RNA is filed under the name uncultured bacterium. RNAcentral describes it as "partial 16S ribosomal RNA". It matches the Rfam family "Bacterial small subunit ribosomal RNA", at positions 524 to 776 of the family's 1533-position model. The record is from RNAcentral.
UACGGAGGAUGCGAGCGUUAUCCGGAUUUAUUGGGUUUAAAGGGAGCGUAGACGGGUCCUUAAGUCAGUUGUGAAAGUUUGCGGCUCAACCGUAAAAUUGCAGUUGAUACUGGGGACCUGGAGUGCGGCAGAGGCAGGCGGAAUUCGUGGUGUAGCGGUGAAAUGCUUAGAUAUCACGAAGAACUCCGAUUGCGAAGGCAGCUUGCUGGACCGUAACUGACGUUGAUGCCCGAAAGUGCGGGUAUCAAACAGG